GGAAAUGUCCUCCAUCGAACUCAGCCCAAAUUACUACCAGGCCACAGGAUGGUGAAGGCAUUAGGACACAGUGGAUGGGGGAAGGGAUUCCAUGCACUGUGUAGAUGGUCUUGGGUUUGUUGUGAGAACAACCAACACUAUUCUGGGCCCCUGUCAAUCCUACACAUCAACACCAACCGCAGGUUGAUCAGAUCCCAUUCCUCCAAACAGCCAAGGCAUCCAUCUUCUUGAAGCUGCAAAGAAACAUGGCUUUCCAUCCAGGAGAGAGGGCCUGUGGAGCGUCCUCCACAGCCCUGAGGACGGUGCUAGAUCCAACAAGCUGCCUCAAAUCCAGGCCGAUCUGGAACCAUUCACCGAGGGAGGCAACGAUCCUGCACUCUGAAGACAACGCAAGUCUACCCCCAAACAAGCUGUAGGAAUUUGGAAAGACUGAGUCUUGUCAACCUUCCUGAGAAC
Molecule: long non-coding RNA, 456 nt
Organism: Monopterus albus (swamp eel)
Lineage: Eukaryota; Metazoa; Chordata; Actinopteri; Synbranchiformes; Synbranchidae
Exons: 4
Source: RefSeq, a predicted model, not a curated record